UGGUACUUAGUUUAAACAAAACAAAUGAUUUCGACUCAUUAAAUUAUGAAUA
Molecule: transfer RNA, 52 nt
Filed under: Notiomastodon platensis
Lineage: Eukaryota; Metazoa; Chordata; Mammalia; Proboscidea; Gomphotheriidae
Description: partial tRNA-Arg
Source: RNAcentral